GGACAAUGAAAUAAGCUUAUUGGACCCGGGGGCGGUACCCGGCGCCUCCACCAAAAUAUAAUUUGUUUUUUUAUAUUUUAGUGGGGGCGAAACAGGAUCGACAAAAGUGUAAAGAUUGCUCUUUUACUCGGUAUAGUACCACCGUUAUCGGACUAAAUGAGUAGUUGCAAAUGACAACUAUGCGGAAGUACGUCUCGCUGCCUGAGGUGGUGUGAAUGCUUCAAACUAAGUCUUAAACCGUCGCAGGUUUAAGCGGGGUUCGAAGGCACCUGGCAAACAGAAGC
Molecule: transfer-messenger RNA, 284 nt
Filed under: Bartonella sp.
Lineage: Bacteria; Pseudomonadati; Pseudomonadota; Alphaproteobacteria; Hyphomicrobiales; Bartonellaceae
Description: partial ssrA
Rfam family: Alphaproteobacteria transfer-messenger RNA
About the family: Bacterial tmRNA, also known as 10Sa RNA or SsrA, is named for its dual tRNA and mRNA-like properties. Its role is to liberate the mRNA from a stalled ribosome. To accomplish this part of the tmRNA is used as a reading frame that ends in a translation stop signal.
Source: RNAcentral